GGCCGGACUCCGCUGAGCACGCCAGUCCGCGGCGCAGCCUCAGGGGCCGGUCUAUCACGAAGCUGCGGACGCCCUGGAGAGGGUGAGGAAGUGAAGAUUUGUACGCUAAGUAAUCUUUGAUCAAGAUUUGUAGCAUUCAGGAGUUUUGGCAGGGUUGGGGGGAGAGCGGACCUGAGCUUGGAAACAGCAUCUAAGAGGAAUGAAGGAAGCAGGACUUGGCAGAAGAAGUUGAAUUGUGAUACUGCAACAGAGUUCUCAGCGGUCCUAGAUGACUUUCAGAGCUGUGCCUGAAGACCAGGGCCCUCUGCCCCCCACACUGUGCCAUCUCCAUCUAUCCAUCUACAGUCAUCGGAUGCAGGCUGCUCCCACGGAGGAGACCUAACUUUGGACAAGGUGGUCUUCUUCCUCUGGAGGCAAUUUCUGGACAGGACUCAGCUGAGAACCACCCACAGUCUCAGCAUCUGGAGGUACUGAAGUAUUUGAGCAUACUGCAGCAUAUACCAAAGUGAGUUUAUAACCACCAAAUGAUUUUUUUCCUCGCAAUGGGAUUAAGCAUGUGACUCCUGCUUGUUUUGGUUGAAGGAAGACAUAAUAGAAACAACAACUCCAGGAAAAAUUCAAACUUUUUUUCUCAGAGCACCUCAGAAAUUGCA
This is a long non-coding RNA of Artibeus jamaicensis (Jamaican fruit-eating bat), 653 nucleotides long. RefSeq lists it as uncharacterized. The transcript is spliced from 3 exons. The record is from RefSeq and is a predicted model, not a curated record. Lineage: Eukaryota; Metazoa; Chordata; Mammalia; Chiroptera; Phyllostomidae.